Molecule: ribosomal RNA, 465 nt
Filed under: uncultured bacterium
Lineage: Bacteria
Description: partial 16S ribosomal RNA
Rfam family: Bacterial small subunit ribosomal RNA
Source: RNAcentral
GAUGAACGCUGGCGGCGUGCUUAACACAUGCAAGUCGAACGAUGAAGCCCAGCUUGCUGGGUGGAUUAGUGGCGAACGGGUGAGUAACACGUGAGUAACCUGCCCUUAACUCUGGGAUAAGCCUGGGAAACUGGGUCUAAUACCGGAUAGGAGCGCCUACCGCAUGGUGGGUGUUGGAAAGAUUUAUCGGUUUUGGAUGGACUCGCGGCCUAUCAGCUUGUUGGUGAGGUAAUGGCUCACCAAGGCGACGACGGGUAGCCGGCCUGAGAGGGUGACCGGCCACACUGGGACUGAGACACGGCCCAGACUCCUACGGGAGGCAGCAGUGGGGAAUAUUGCACAAUGGGCGAAAGCCUGAUGCAGCGACGCCGCGUGAGGGAUGACGGCCUUCGGGUUGUAAACCUCUUUCAGUAGGGAAGAAGCGAAAGUGACGGGACCUGCAGAAGAAGCACCGGCUAACUACGU